Molecule: ribosomal RNA, 381 nt
Filed under: Triticum aestivum (bread wheat)
Lineage: Eukaryota; Viridiplantae; Streptophyta; Magnoliopsida; Poales; Poaceae
Description: partial small subunit ribosomal RNA
Source: RNAcentral
AUGCACAAGUUCAUCUUUUGUAUGCUUUUCAGUACAUCUACUUCCCAAUCGCGCUUCCUCCUCCUCUCAGGAACCGACCCAACCACUGCCGCCAUGGCACGGCGCCUCCACCUCUCGGCGAAGGACCACCACCUCCCCGACGACGUGCCCAACCCCGAUGAGGCCCGCCGGCCCUGGAGUUCCUGCCGCGACGCCUCGACCUCCUGUUCAGCCAUGGAUUCUUGCCAUCAUCCACGUCAUCAGGAACACGAUUGGGCCGGGGGAGAAGGCAGAACCUCUGGGUGCAUGAUGGAAACCAUGAUGCAUGGUAGAACAGACCUCGAAUCUGAGUUCUUCAUGGAGUAUGGUGAAAUAAACCGGUAUCAGGUUGGUGGUGAUUAA